AGCGUGUUCUUGAUGAUUCUAUAAGAAUUCUUCGUCUCUUGUCCAGUUUAAUGUUAUUUUAAAAUAGUGCUUGUGGUUUAAUCAUUUUUUGAGAUGCUGCUACCAGAUUUGAAAAAUCUGUAGCUAGACGCCAAGAUAAUUUGCUCAUAUAAUUGUUUUUGAAACAGAGCUUAUGCAAGAUAGUUUGUACUGGUAAAGCUGCACAGUGCAUCUGCUGACUUGUGGCCAGAUACCAAGAGGGACCCCAGCUGAUUAGCAAAGCUGUAACCUUGCCAGGGAGUGGAUCUGAGGCACAUGUGGCCUUCCUCAUGACUCAGAGGAGGUGGGGACUAAAAUCUUGUGGGAUGAAAAAGCCUGGCUGGACGCCGGGUCUUCAUGCUGCUGCUGAGAAACUUCGUGCCGCCUUUGCUGUUCCCAGGCUGCUAUUUUCCUGAGAUGAGCAGAGAGGAGUGGGGCUUGGCCCUCAGGCUGGACUCAGAUAUCUGGCUGCUGGACAAAGUCGGGCAAACUUGGUGCAUUGAUUGCGGACAGGCGAGAAUUCGAGCUGUGAGGAUGACGUAGAAUAGAAUACAGAAGAGGGAACGAUGCCCUGGAAAGAGGUUUAAGUAAAUCAGAUGUGGAAAACUUUUUGGCAUUUCAGAACAAUGGCGGCCUGCUCGACGCUUGGCUGAGGCCGGUGCCCUAGAUCUGUGAUGGACGUUGGGAAUUUGGAGAUGACUGUAACACCAGGAAGGUCAUCACUGGCUUCCAGAGGAAGCAACUAUGGGGCCGUUUGAAUACAUCACUGUGACUGUGACAUUGAAAACAAUGCAUCCCCACAACUAAAACAAAUCUCUACUUUUGGAAACAUUCACAAGUUAUAGAAACCCCAUGAUGUUGAAUGAAAAUAAAAAUUCUUUAAAAAUACA
Molecule: long non-coding RNA, 908 nt
Filed under: Felis catus (domestic cat)
Lineage: Eukaryota; Metazoa; Chordata; Mammalia; Carnivora; Felidae
Description: lncRNA (ENSFCAG00000048715.1)
Source: RNAcentral